Molecule: long non-coding RNA, 2572 nt
Filed under: Zea mays
Lineage: Eukaryota; Viridiplantae; Streptophyta; Magnoliopsida; Poales; Poaceae
Description: long non-coding RNA (ZMAY_LNC003480)
Source: RNAcentral
UACAAAAUAAAAAUAAUGAGUAUAAAACGAACUAAGGAUCGUCGGCGCAGAUGUCAACUGAGAAACGCCACCUAGAUCAGAUCAUACUCCUCGCCUUGUGGCUCCUCCUGAACCACCUGUUCUUCUCCUGUGGGGGGGGUGUGAGACAGCAAGGGUGAGCUCACAUACGUUCAUCGCUCAACAAGUUGUGGGGAAUAAUGUGGCAUGAACUCACCAAAGGUGGGAGUUCAUGAAGUGUAAGGCUGACCAAUGAUAUAAGGCUGAAGCUGAGCAUUGCUUUUAGAAGUUGGUCAAAAUUUUAUUAGCAGUUACUAAGUGUGAGUGAAUACCAAACCAUAGUAAAUAUAAAUAAAAGUAAUAAUAAAAUAAUCCCACAUGCAAUGAAAUGACAGAUUAAGUUUAAGUUCCAUAAUUUAAUCAUGUGAGUGUCCGAGCCGCUCAUGACCGUGAGCACGGCUAGUAUACUAGUUUUACACUCUGCAGAGGUUGCGCAUCUUUACCCACAAGUCGUGUUACCCAUUUGCCACGGAGUUGAUCAGACUCCAUACACCUCUACCUAGGAAGCGAGGCAGGGUACCACUACGAGGCCUUUACAAAGUUCCACUAGCUUCAGACUACCCGCUACAGUUUAUAGGAAGUUCCAAUGCAGGGUUCCUGACUGACUGCCAUCGCAGCAAAAUCAACCAGGGACCUCCCUACACUGACCACUCCCCUACUGCCCUUGCCCCUUUCGGGUAAGGUAGCCCUCCACUAGCUUUCCUAGUUAAUCAGCCAAGGGCGUCCCAUUAAACCCUUGUGGUAGCACUGUUUUCCCGGGUGGUUCUCCAUGUUCCCAUUAACAUAAUGAUCUUAUCAUGAAUAAUAAUAAUAAACAGAUAAUAAAAAGUAUAACAAUGAGUGAUGAAUAUCUUUAUACCCAAAGCCACAUAAAGCAAUAGCAUAUACUACCCAAAAAGUUUGUAGUAAAACCAGUGGUGAUACAAGGUAUAAAGAUAGUCAAAAUCUAGGGUAUCCUAUUGGGUCCCAUCAAAAUUAACCUAUGCAGAUCAUUAUGAUUAAUAAGAACAUGAAUGGGUAAAAGAAGUGAUCAAGGGCACAACUUGCCUUCAAUGAGCUCCUGCUCAGCUAUCUCUACUUGUUGAACCUCAGAUCCCACAGUAGCUUGCUCGUCUAUUCGCAUCAAUACAAUACAUACAUAGCAUAGCAUAAAUUAACAUCACAUCAAACAUGCAAAUAAAAUAUACAGUAAUAAACUAGACAUUAAAAUAAGAUCACAGGAAUUGUAAUCAUUAAAUUUGGAGUUAUAUAUUUUAAGUUAUAGAUUUUCUAAGGUUUUAUGCAUUUAAUACAAGAUUAAGUGAAAGAAUAAUUUUAAUGUGUUUUUCAUGUCAGAACAGAGGCACUAAUGGGUAGAAAAUAUUAUUACAAAAAUUUAGGAACUGGAAUGGACCAAUUUGGAGUUAGUAUGAAUUUUCUAUGAAUUAUUGAAGUUCUAGCAAUUAUUUUUCUAUUAAAUAUUCAAUUUCUAAUUCAUUUAUACAGUUUUAAAUAAGCUCUGGACUGGGCCUCAAUUAAUGGGAAACGCAGGGGCAAAACCAAAAUAUUUCCAAGGCACAGAUCACUGGCGCUUGGAGUGCGGGUUGAUUUCUUUUAAUCACAGGGUCUCUUUAGCAAAAGUUGAAGGCCGAAGGGGUAUCGGGGUACAGGAGCCGCCAGAUCUAAAAUCGUCGGUCCAGAUUAGACCGAGACACACAUGAACCAGGGUUCAUUCCCACACGUCGGAUUCGAAUCCUACGCUUCACAUUCACCAAGCCCGCGAUCUAACAGCCACCCUUUGAUCUAACACCAACGGCGCGGAUCGCGCUGGCGAAGAUGUAAGUCACCUUUUUGAUCCUGGCCGCCCAAACCGGAUCAACGGCCCAGAUCGAACGUGGUAAGGAGGUAAGACAUGUUAUAAUCUAGACCGUUGCCCUAGCUAUCAACGACCGUGAUGAUCCAAUAGCCCCCAUACGGAUUGCAAGUCAAUCACCACCGUCCGUUUCAUGAUCUACGGAUACCUUGGCAUCGUCUACCCCACGACACCAAGGCGCAGUCGUCGCGCCAUGCCCGGCACUCCCCCUCUCUCUCCUGUCGGUCCACCGGCGUUCUGCCCGACCAAGACCAGCCAGUGAACGCCACCGCCGUCCCCGGAGGCGCUCCAAAUUCGCUCUAGGGUUACUGAUCCCCCACUGACCGCGCACAUGCCAUAGGAUGGAGAAAGGAAAGUAAUUCCGAGGUGGGUACUCACCGGCGUGGACUUGCCCUCAAUUUGCCACCCCCGCGCGUGAUUGUUGAUCGGAGAAUGCCCUCCCAGGAUCGCGCACACCUCGCCCGCUCGAAUCCGGACUCCAGACGAAGUCGCGGUCAGAAAAUCACAGCAGCGGCAACCAACACACCCGUUCACCACACUUUUGGUUCUAAUGGUGGCUAGAACUAAAUUCAAUCGAACGGUUUAGGGCACCCGAGCUCUCCAAGCUUUAUAGGGACUGCACUAGGCUGGUCAAAUCCACCAAGGCCGACGCGCGUCAUCAGG